UAUGAUGAGUGUUCUGGCGCUCUAUGGCUGCUGUCACAUCAUCCAGGUGGGGCUGCACACUGGUGGUGGUGGAGGGGAUCCCCAUUACCUGUAAAGCGCUUUGAGUGGAGUGUCCAGAAAAGCGCUAUAAAGAGUGUAAGCAAUUAUUAUUAUUAUUAUUAUUAUUAUUAUUAUUAUUAUUAAAAACAGAAAACAAUGAACCUCUUUCUCAGCGUUGGUGAUAAAGCCUGUUCUCCUCUCCUCCUGCCCCUCAUCAGGUCCAGAACCGUGCCCAGGCUGCAGGCUCUCUGGGCUGGUGAUGUCAGCGCCGUGAUCCAGCUCACCUGGAGCAGCCCAGUCGUCCUCCUGCAGCACAUUCUCAGUUUCAGCACUGCCUGCUACCACCAGCUCACCACAAGCUCAGGAAAAGAGCUUCCUUACAUUUCCAGCUUUGUCACUCAUGUUCCCUGCACUUAGAGAUUCCUGACUUCAGGCCCUGUGCUGGAGGAAGGGGGUGUGUGGGGGCUGUUACCGGCAGACGCAGCCGGUUCUCUCUGUGCCAGUGUCUGAGCUGGCGAAGCUCCUCUUCAUGUGCCUGCUCAGCUGCCUGCACAGCCUGCCCUUCCCUUGCCAGCAGCUCUGGAACACACACAGGGCCACACUCAGCGCCCCAUUGCCGAUGCUGCUAUUGAAUGAGCAGCACUUUUUAAUCCUCACACCUCACAUGGACUGUUCUCACAGACCAACCAUAAAAGCAAAUGGAUGGUGUCAAAAAGCAAAAUGUAAAAAUAAUAGAAAAAUUUGAGUGGAAGAAUUAAUGAGACCUGACA
RNAcentral lists this long non-coding RNA (809 nucleotides) under Lepisosteus oculatus (spotted gar). Its description in RNAcentral is "lncRNA (ENSLOCG00000021874.1)". The record is from RNAcentral. Lineage: Eukaryota; Metazoa; Chordata; Actinopteri; Semionotiformes; Lepisosteidae.